AUUGAACGCUGGCGGCAUGCUUUACACAUGCAAGUCGAACGGUAACAGGCCGCAGGGUGCUGACGAGUGGCGAACGGGUGAGUAAUGCAUCGGAACGUGCCCAGUCGUGGGGGAUAACGCAGCGAAAGCUGUGCUAAUACCGCAUACGAUCUAUGGAUGAAAGCGGGGGACCGUAAGGCCUCGCGCGAUUGGAGCGGCCGAUGUCAGAUUAGCUAGUUGGUGGGGUAAAGGUCCACCAAGGCGACGAUCUGUAGCUGGUCUGAGAGGACGACCAGCCACACUGGGACUGAGACACGGCCCAGACUCCUACGGGAGGCAGCAGUGGGGAAUUUUGGACAAUGGGCGCAAGCCUGAUCCAGCAAUGCCGCGUGCAGGAAGAAGGCCUUCGGGUUGUAAACUGCUUUUGUACGGAACGAAACGGUCUGGGUUAAUACCUCGGGCUAAUGACGGUACCGUAAGAAUAAGCACCGGCUAACUACGUGCCAGCCGCCGCGGUAA
This 498-nucleotide ribosomal RNA is filed under the name uncultured bacterium. Its description in RNAcentral is "partial 16S ribosomal RNA". It matches the Rfam family "Bacterial small subunit ribosomal RNA", at positions 30 to 523 of the family's 1533-position model. The record is from RNAcentral.